GUGGCGAUAGCGAAGAGGUCACACCCGUUCCCAUGCCGAACACGGAAGUUAAGCUCUUCAGCGCCGAUGGUAGUUGGGGGCUUCCCCCUGUGAGAGUAGGACGCCGCCAAGC
RNAcentral lists this ribosomal RNA (112 nucleotides) under Bacillus licheniformis. RNAcentral also lists the same sequence under 3 other names. The record is from RNAcentral. Lineage: Bacteria; Bacillati; Bacillota; Bacilli; Caryophanales; Bacillaceae.